CGCCGCCGCCGCCCCCGCCGUCGACGCCGUCCCCGGAGCCGCCGGCGGUGCCGCCGCGCGACUUCCGGUCUCGCACGCCCAUCCCCGAGGAGGAGGAGAGCUCGCCGCGCGGCCCCACGCCCACCUCGCCGCCACACAUCGUCCUCGAGCGGCCGACGCCGUCGCCGUCCCCGCCGCCCGACGCCUCAGCCAAAGGUUCCCCCGCUUCGUCAAGGUCUUCAUCAACCUCCUCACGCGGCAGCGCCUCUGGAGGUGCCGGUGCCAACAAAGAAGAGGGUGCGCCCAAGAAGUCUGGGGAAGCUGGCCCCGCGAAGGACGAGGAGGAGAAAGAGAAGAAGGAAGGAGGUGCAAAGGACAGCGGAAAGGAGGAGCGCGAGGACGGCUCGGCACCGACGCCUUCUCCUCGGGCCUACAAGCCCGGCGGGAAGUCCAAAGUGACGGGGCAGACCCUCACCGGCUGGCUGUAGGCGCAUGCUAGACGCUACACACUACACACUACACUCACUGCCCUCGUCAUGGGGACUUUCUGCGGGUCUGGGCUAGGUAAAUCUCAUAAGGGCUCAUUCCACGUUUCGAGAUAACCACCCCGUACGAGAAGAGUACUGCUCUGAGAAAAGAGGUCGACGAGAGUUCCUUGAAGUAAUAUGUGCUACAUACUAAUUUAAUUUUUCAUACUUGUAUUUUAUCACAAACCAAGGGUGUACUUACCCUUGGAUCAAAUGAACUUUGUAACCUUUGGGGCCAAUGAACUGCCUUCCUUCUAACAUUUCUUACCUAUUUCGUGUAAUUUUAACUUAUAAUCCCUUAAUCAGGCAUAACACAUAAUAACAUACUCUGCAAGCGAUUCUCACAAGAAUAUUUUCAUCCACUUGUCUAGAAGAGACGGGUAAGAGUGUAGCCCAAGAUAUCAUCACAUUUCCACUACCAGCCAGACGUCGACGUAUAUAUCUUGAUGCAGCAGAGGGAAUGAAAAAGCAAGUACUGCAUUGACUGCACUUCGAAAUCUGUGUCGAUCCCUUGUGGCUACAGGGAGAUAAGGGGACACAGUCAUUAGACAUAGCACUCUGUUGCUUUCUUCAGCGUCCAUUGGCCUGGCACUCUUGUUGAAUAGUUAGAAUUAGUCAUUAGAAGGCCACCAUAAUGUAAACCCAUUGAAGGAGCUUUUUAGUUAGAACAAACAUUCCGAAAUAUUUAUUGACAUUCUGCCUAAUUUCUAUAAUGAAAAUAACUUAUAUACGCAAGAUGUUUCCUAAAGGAGAGCUACUGCUUUCUCUCUCUCUCUCUCUCUCUCUCUCUCUCUCUCUCUCUCAGCGUGUGUGUGUGUGUGUGUGUGUGUGUGAGUGAGAGUGAGAGUGUGAGAGAGAGAGAGAGAGAGAGAGAGAGAGAGAUUUUGUGUACGUGUGUGCUUGGAGGAGAGACAAGAGAGAAGAGAGAAGAAGCGUUCCUUAAUCUCCGGUAAUCAGUAAAUGAGGAUAGUAUCGCCACAGUUACUCCCGUAUGAAACGGAAUAAGACAUAGAACUUUGGUUGUAAUUCGUGAAAUGUGUGGAACGUCCAGCUGGCAGGAAUUGUCUUCGCUUCUUGUAUGCCAAACGUUUAACAUCAGCUGCCAACACACAUUUAAGAGUUCAUGAAUUACGGGUACCACUUUUAAGCGAAAUUUACAGAAGGUGCAGUUGGCUCUUAACUGACAAUAAUCACUUUUGAAAAAAAUGAUAAUUCAUCCAAUAAUAACAUACAUUAGAUAUAGCACAUAGUUGACCUGUUUGAAAACAUUAUUAUAAUAAUGUCAGUAUCCCCGUAUCAAGUAAAGCUGAUUGCCAUUACUUUUUACGAGAAACUGCUUUCUAUUCUUAGCUUUUCCUUAAAUUUUGAGUUCUUCACUUUUAAUACGAAUCUCCGUAUGCUUUUAUGAUAUUUGUAAAUAUUUAAAAUUAUAUGAAGCAACAUAAACCUUAUCAGCUCCGUCCAUAACAGUCUCCGCUAUUUUUAUGCUCUACUAGGGCUUUUCAUUCACCAAAAUGUCUAAUUUCCGUAAUUGGGCAGUGAAAUAGACUUGUGUCGACGACCACAGGACAUGGCUGGUACCUCAAUAAUUCCUCCAACUGUUUUUCUCACUAUCUCUUUUUAACAUACGGGUAAUUAAAUAAAUAAAUUUUGAUAAAGCCUUCAGCAAUAGCUGACAUAAGAUUGUGUUGGUUUGACUGUUUUCAGUCCUAAUAAGUACCCAGAAACAAAGUUCUUAACGAAAAUCAAUAAAUUUUGAUCACUUACACUUCAAGAAUUAUUACUAUGUCAUCUUUGUUAAAACAUGUAUAUUGAUUAUGCAAUAAAAUGUGUUUACCAUAAA
Long non-coding RNA from Schistocerca americana (American grasshopper), 2349 nucleotides. RefSeq lists it as uncharacterized. The transcript has 2 exons. The record is from RefSeq and is a predicted model, not a curated record. NCBI's taxonomy places the organism in Eukaryota, Metazoa, Arthropoda, Insecta, Orthoptera, Acrididae.